RNAcentral lists this ribosomal RNA (403 nucleotides) under uncultured bacterium. Its description in RNAcentral is "partial 16S ribosomal RNA". It matches the Rfam family "Bacterial small subunit ribosomal RNA", at positions 355 to 747 of the family's 1533-position model. The record is from RNAcentral.
UGGGGAAUAUUGCACAAUGGGCGCAAGCCUGAUGCAGCCAUGCCGCGUGUGUGAAGAAGGCCUUCGGGUUGUAAAGCACUUUCAGCGAGGAGGAAGGCGUUAAGGUUAAUAACCUUGGCGAUUGACGUUACUCGCAGAAGAAGCACCGGCUAACUCCGUGCCAGCAGCCGCGGUAAUACGGAGGGUGCAAGCGUUAAUCGGAAUUACUGGGCGUAAAGCGCACGCAGGCGGUUUGUUAAGUCAGAUGUGAAAUCCCCGAGCUUAACUUGGGAACUGCAUUUGAAACUGGCAAGCUAGAGUCUUGUAGAGGGGGGUAGAAUUCCAGGUGUAGCGGNUGAAAUGCGUAGAGAUCUGGAGGAAUACCGGUGGCGAAGGCGGCCCCCCUGGACAAAAGACUGACGCU